This 612-nucleotide ribosomal RNA is filed under the name Lepetodrilus sp. SP-2014. Its description in RNAcentral is "partial 16S ribosomal RNA". It matches the Rfam family "Bacterial large subunit ribosomal RNA", at positions 1813 to 2610 of the family's 2925-position model. Lineage: Eukaryota; Metazoa; Mollusca; Gastropoda; Lepetellida; Lepetodrilidae. The record is from RNAcentral.
ACAUGGCUCUUUGUUAGUUUAGUGAAAUGAAUAUAGAGAGUCUGACCUGCCCGGUGAUGUUGGAAUUAAACGGCCGCAGUACUCUGACUGUGCAAAGGUAGCAUAAUCAUUUGCCUUUUAAUUGAGGGCUGGAAUGAAUGGUUUGACGUAGACUAAGCUGUCUCUUGAGAGAUUAAAUAGAAAUUAAUUUUUAGGUGAAAAAGCCUAAAUUAAAUUAAGGGACGAGAAGACCCCGUUGAGCUUGAGCUAAUUUUUAAAAUAAGAAAAACAAGAUUAAAUGUUGAAUUGAGUUGUUUUAGAAGUGUUUUUAGUGGGGGAAAACGAAGGAAUAUAAAUAGCUUCCUUUUUCUUAAGGUUGGUUGAGUUACAUGAUAUAAAGUGUAUAAUUUAAAUAUUAAAUUUAGACUAGCAGGUGAAACAUUAAUAGAAAGAUCCGCUAAAAAUUAGUGAUUAAGGGAUAAAGUUACCACGGGGAUAACAGCGUAAUUUCUUUUGGAGAGUUCGAAUUGAAGAAGGGGUUUGCGACCUCGAUGUUGGAUUAAGACAUCCUGAGGGUGUAGCAGCUUUCAAGGGUUGGUCUGUUCGACCAUAAAAGUCUUACAUGAUCUGAGU